UGUGUCUCAUCAUCAUCAUCAUCGUGUCUCAUCAUCGUUUUGAAACUAAAGUUUCAGAAGCAAGAAUGGCUCUUUAUCGUGUGGCUGUUUUGGCGCUCGUCGUUCUCCUGCUGCUUUAUGUUGCAGACAACGAGGCUUUUCAGUGCUCUUCGGUUGGUUCAGGAAACUGUAGAACUCAGUGCUUUGGGCAUGAAGUUCAUCUAAGCCAGGCUUCCUGCGCUGGUGGACAAAAAUGUUGCUACCCGGAUUAUUGGGAAAAGUAGGCUCGCUACAAGACUCAGCAGAUGUUUGGACAGACACACGACGUGGAGUGGAGACGUGGAGGAGUUGACUCUUAACGCGGAUGACUUCAAAAUGUUAAAACAACCUGCUUGUUGCUGAUUCCUGAAUAAAAAUAUUCUUGGUUGACAUCA
Solea senegalensis (Senegalese sole) is the source of this 413-nucleotide long non-coding RNA. RefSeq lists it as uncharacterized. The transcript has 3 exons. The record is from RefSeq and is a predicted model, not a curated record. NCBI's taxonomy places the organism in Eukaryota, Metazoa, Chordata, Actinopteri, Pleuronectiformes, Soleidae.